RNAcentral lists this long non-coding RNA (4613 nucleotides) under Prunus persica (peach). RNAcentral's name for it is "long non-coding RNA (PPER_LNC003965)". The record is from RNAcentral. Lineage: Eukaryota; Viridiplantae; Streptophyta; Magnoliopsida; Rosales; Rosaceae.
CUGUGACAGAAACAAGCUGAAAAAGAAUAGGAUGAAAAUGGAGGGAUUAAAAGCAUGAAAAGUUUCAGUUCUCUUACCCAUUUCAAGCUUGUUAAUCUCCCUGCCCAACACGGGGUAUCUAAUUGUCAACCAAAACAAUAUGGCUAGUGGUUUUGGGCUAAUCAAUCUCUCUCUCUCUCUCUCUCUCUCUCAAUAUUAACAUCACAAUUAGCUAGUGUUCCUCUAUGGUUGGGGCCUGCCUUACAGACGUACCCAUUACUAUUAAAUUAUUAAUCCUUGGGCUAUUGACCAGCAAAAAGAAAAACUACUCAUACCCAGAAAGCUACUUAAUACUAAACAAAAAUUGCUUUCAGGACCACCUAUGAAUAUAAUCUUACUCACCCCGAAAUUCAAAUUGACUAAAUAUAUAAAGAAAUCACAAAAGAAAGAAAAAGGUCGGGAAAACAAACAGUUGGUGGGAACCUCAGCUAAACAAAGUCAGAGCUUUGUCGCCAUUUUUCCACCGAGCCGUAUUAACAAGUUACAGAGGCCAAUCUUUGACACGGUCAUGAGGCAAGCGGGGUGUUUCGAACAUUCAGAAAGCUAUAUAAUCAUUCUCCAGGUCAACAGUCAAAAAUCACGUUAGUCGACAAUAUUGAAAAGACAAAAAGAUCAAGGCUUUUUUAUCUCAUAACAACCCAAAUUCAAUUUGAAAGAUAAAGUUUUGUUAUUGCUCUCACAUAUUAUGUGUUAGACAAUCACAAUUUGUCAGAAAAAUAACAAGGCAAGUGAAGUUGAACCCAAAAAAAAACCGCUUUUUUCUUUCCCUUUUAAUAAUAGCAUAAGAUAUUUGAACAUGUACAAAACAUAUGUUCCUAAUCCAAUAAUAGCAUAGGCUAGCAUAGGAUCAGGACAUUAAAGGGAUGUUAUACUACUAACACCUGUCUUAUAAUGUUUUUUUGGUGCAUUUUAGCAAAAUAUCCCAUGAAAGGAAAACCUUCAUUCACUAUACCUUUUUUUCGCGCAUUUUAGCAAAAUAUCCCGUGAAUGGAAAACCUUCAUUCACUAUACCAAAAGGAAAACUUCACAACGGCCAAAAGUCAAUAGACGUAAAAAUUUGCAAUUUCUUAUCGUCCUUGAAGUAGUGUUAUGGUAUCUUCAUUUGCGGAGCAAAUAUUGUCAAACGGUGGUUGGGGAUCAGAGUUUGAGCUUUGGAAAGUAUAUAUAGGCCGCUUAGGUUGUGGGCGAUCUGUCUCCCUACUCAGCAUGAAAACUACAUCUGGCAUGGUUGGCCUAUCUGCAGCAUUGUCCUGUACACAAAGAAGCCCAAUGUGCACACAUCUCAUCACUUCUGUUGACGAAUAUGAAUCUGCCAAAACUUCAUCAACCAAGUCCAAUCCCCUGCCUUCAUUCCAUGAGUGCCAUGCCUGAAUAAGUUUCAUAUAUGUUGGCUACAAUUGUUAGACUCUGUUGUAUUUAGCUUCAUAUAGAUUGUUUAACAAUUUAUAAGAAUUUAGAGUGUGAACUUACAUAAUCUAUGAAGCCUAGCUGUUGGUCAUGGUAAUAGAAGCUGGUAUUUUUCCUGCCACCAACAAUCUCCAAUAGAAAGACUCCAAAGCUAUAUAUAUCAGAUUUUUCAGAAAAUAUCCCGCGCAUAGCGUACUCGGGAGACAUAUAGCCACUGUACAGGAAAUUCAUUAUCCACUAACUUAUUAUUAUUCCUGAUAACAUGCUAAAAAGCAUUAGAAAUUUAGUUGGUUAAUAACAAUUCUGAUAAUUGGGAAGAAAUUAUUCUUACCGAGUUCCCACAACCUUCUGAGUGUUUGCUAGAUUCUGUGUCCCUUCAAAGAUACGUGCCAGUCCAAAAUCCGAAAUUUUUGGGCUCAUCUUCUCAUCCAACAGAAUAUUACUUACCUUCAAACAUGAAUCAUAGUGGAGAUAAAGAAGUCCUCUAGCAACACCUUGAAUAAUAUUGAAGCGUUUUGCCCAAUCAAGCUCUGCUCUUCUCAUUGGAUCUAAUCAAUUCACCCAUUUGAAAUGAAAUCAGUAGUGUCAUUCAUAUAUUUGGUGCAUAGUACAAUGAAAACAAUGAUUUAAUUGCUAUAAAAUAGAGACACAGUUGUAAGAACACUAGUAAGCGGUGCUUAAACAGGUAGGUGUAAUAUAUUGAAGAGCUAAACUGUACUCAAAGAUUGUGCAUAUCAGUUAAUAGUUCCCCUGAGCUCCGCAUUCUAGGAAAAGCUCAUAGAUUACCAGUGAUAUUGAAGAAAGAUAUGUAACAAUGAGAAAUUGCAGCCAAACAUAAAGGGCCAGUGAAACUUACUGAACAAAAGAGUAUCCAAGCUUUUGUUUGGCAUGAACUCAUAAAUUAGUAGCUUCUCAUCAUCUUUAAUGCAGCAACCCAUGAGCCUUACAAGAUUCUUAUGUUGGAGUUUGGAGAUCAAUAGAAUCUCAUUCUUGAACUCUUCUAUGCCUUGUACUGAGCUACUAGAUAGUCUUUUUACUGCUAUUUCCUUCCCUUCUUGUAGCUUACCCUACACAAGGUCCACAAAUUAAUCAUUGCAUUCAUGUCUGUAUCAUUAUAUAUAUUCCUUCGAAAAGAAAAAAAAGAAAGAAAGAAUAAUCACCCUAUAUACAGGCCCGAAUCCUCCUUCUCCGAGUUUAUUUGUGAUGCUGAAAUUCCUCGUAGCAAUUAAUAUGGUAUCAAAAUCAUAGAUUACUAGCUCUGAUGGAUCAUGUUUUCUUAUAUAUUCAUGAAGAAGAGCAUCUCUUGAAGUCUCAAUCAUAUCAGCCAUUUCAGAGUCCUUAGGUGUUACUUUGACGUUUCCUGGUUUGCAAAUAUAGCAACCAAACUCGAAGUCAGAGAAAAACAAAAAAGCAGUAAAUAUGCUCUUAUAAUGUAAUGCAUUGAAGUUAUACUGUUUUGAUUAAUACUUCAAACAGAGGAAGGGUGAGAUCAUGGGCUAAUGCAUUAAUUGCAUCCCUCGACCUCAUUCUCUUACUCUUUUGGUUAGAUCGCAAUCUGUGCAAGCUAAACACUAUGCCAGCCAAGAUACUGAUAAAACAAACAGCUAUGAGGCUGACCAUUAUCUUUAUUUGCUUUCUUUCACCUAAAAAAAUGAAUUUGUGUCACAUAAAGUAGGUGACAGAGAAAAGAAAAGAUACUGCUAAUUAGAGUUGUGCAAGCAAUAUUAUCACUUACCUAAUUCUGCAUGUGCUAAGCGAAUAAAAAGAUCAUCUCCACCAGAGGCAAACUCUUGAAUAUCAAUAAGGUCUUUGGACCAGACCAAACACCCUAUAUUGUUAAUAUGUGUAUAAGCCAGGCAAGAGCAACUACCUGUGCACUGUACCUUGCAGUCUUCAGCACCCAAAUUCGAAAUAUACUCAUGAAAAUCUGGUAGGUUUACACUUGAUAUCUUCCAAAACCCAUCUUGUUUUCCUCUCGAAGGAACUGAGUUACUUGUGUUACUCCCACAAAACAAUUUGGUUUUCCUCACACACCCCCCUGCCCUGUUUCCUUUGCUCCAUUCCUCUUGUGACUUGGGUUUAAACCCUUUCAAACACUUGCAGAUUGGAGACUCGGAAGCUUUGCAAACCCCAAAAGGUCCACAGAUUCCAUAAUGGUCACAUGGAUUCUUUGGGGCCUCCCAGUCAAGAUUCCAGUUCUCACCAUGUUCGGAAUACAUAAGCUUUAGUGUACCUUGAUAAGAGAUUUCCAUAUAUGCCAGAGUUCUGUUAAAGAAAAAAGAGAAAUACUUUGUUCCCUGCUGCACAUUAUCAUCUAGAUUUAAUCCACUUAGAUAUUCAUCAUUCAUUCCUGGUAUGCCGAGGAACUUUGUUUUGUCCCAUGGCCCACUUCUCCAGUAGGGAGUUGAUCCAUUAAUCCAAAUGAACAUUUGUGUUGGGAUCUGUGGUGCCAAUCCAACCGAGAACAACCCGGUUGAUCCAUCACUCUCACUUUUCCAGGCAGUCAAGACAUCCCUCUUUCCAGAUUUGUUAUCGAAUCCCAGCAACAUCUUUGGUAGAAGUGUGUCACCAGGAUAAUCAAAGCUCCUCCAUAAUUGAGCUCCUAUAUCAUCUUGGACAACAAAGUUUCCACUGUCUAAAAGAAGUGCAGCUGAACCAUUAGAUGGCACUAAAAUAUUGGUUGACCAAAUACAACUCUGUUUCCCAUCUACAAGCUCCAGGUUCCCAUUGCUGUUAAUUGUCAAACUAGCCAAUGUGUCUGUAACUGAAAGAGCCUUUUCUCUGUUGGCCACCCAAACAACUUUGCGGGGAAAUAUAGUCUUGUGCCAUAUCCCCACAUACUUGUUAGCAGAAUUAUUAGGACUGAAGAAGCCCAAUUCGAAAAUGUGGCCUGGGGAGACAAGAGUUUGUCCCUCUGCUAAUGGUUGUGAAGAAGUUAUGUUAUAAACUUCUGCACAAUAAUGCUGUGACAGAAACCAAUUGAAAAAGAAUAGGAUGAAGAUGGAGGGAUUAAAAGCAUGAAAAGUUUCAGUUCUCUUACCCAUUUCAAGCUUGUUAAUCUCCCUGCCCAACACGAGGUAUCUAAUUGUCAACCAAAACAAUAUUGCAUGUGGUUUUGGGCCAAUCAAUCAAUCAAUCUCUCUCUCUCUCUCUCUCUCUCUCUCUCU